Molecule: ribosomal RNA, 469 nt
Filed under: Staphylococcus epidermidis
Lineage: Bacteria; Bacillati; Bacillota; Bacilli; Caryophanales; Staphylococcaceae
Description: bacterial SSU rRNA
Rfam family: Bacterial small subunit ribosomal RNA
Source: RNAcentral
ACGCUGGCGGCGUGCCUAAUACAUGCAAGUCGAGCGAACAGACGAGGAGCUUGCUCCUCUGACGUUAGCGGCGGACGGGUGAGUAACACGUGGAUAACCUACCUAUAAGACUGGGAUAACUUCGGGAAACCGGAGCUAAUACCGGAUAAUAUAUUGAACCGCAUGGUUCAAUAGUGAAAGACGGUUUUGCUGUCACUUAUAGAUGGAUCCGCGCCGCAUUAGCUAGUUGGUAAGGUAACGGCUUACCAAGGCAACGAUGCGUAGCCGACCUGAGAGGGUGAUCGGCCACACUGGAACUGAGACACGGUCCAGACUCCUACGGGAGGCAGCAGUAGGGAAUCUUCCGCAAUGGGCGAAAGCCUGACGGAGCAACGCCGCGUGAGUGAUGAAGGUCUUCGGAUCGUAAAACUCUGUUAUUAGGGAAGAACAAAUGUGUACGUAACUAUGCACGUCUUGACGGUACCUAAUC